UGGAGAAUCGUCUAACGGCAGGACAGUGGACUCUGACUCCGCUAAUCUAGGUUCGAAUCCUAGUUCUCCAGCCA
RNAcentral lists this transfer RNA (74 nucleotides) under Gammaproteobacteria bacterium. RNAcentral's name for it is "tRNA-Gln". It matches the Rfam family "tRNA". Rfam says of the family: Transfer RNA (tRNA) molecules are approximately 80 nucleotides in length. Their secondary structure includes four short double-helical elements and three loops (D, anti-codon, and T loops). Lineage: Bacteria; Pseudomonadati; Pseudomonadota; Gammaproteobacteria. The record is from RNAcentral.